GGCAAGAUGGCCGAGCGGUUAAGGCGUGUGACUCAAGUGUAACAGCUUGCCUGUUCAGGUUUCUCAUCACGUAAUGUGGCGUGGGUUCGAGUCCCACUCUUGUCA
This is a non-coding RNA of Mycena belliarum, 105 nucleotides long. The record is from the annotation of a GenBank genome assembly. Lineage: Eukaryota; Fungi; Basidiomycota; Agaricomycetes; Agaricales; Mycenaceae.